ACGCCUAAGCAUGAACCCCCAAUUCCAAUAAUAAGGUGUGAUUAACCGCAUCGGAUCCUGGGCCCAUAAAUUGGAUGGGACCAGGACUAAUAUAUCGAUUCUUGAGGGCCCACUCAUCCCGCAUGGAUGCAAAUUUUUUGAAUGGCGCACCUUCAAGCUCCACCAUGGCCUUUUUAAUUACAGGCUUGAAUUUACCAUGUCUCCUCUCCACAUCCAUCAUAGAAGUCAGUGCAGUGCCACCAACUGUCCAUUCUGCAACAGGAGCACCCAAAUUCCCGACUGAUGAUAUCAGCCCAGUUUUCCCACUGUGAAGGAGCGCUCCAGCUCCAUAGCCCAACGCAUAGCAGUAUGUAGCAUCAAAGUUUGUUGGCAAACCGCAUCUUCCUUCAUAACCAAAGAAGUGGGACUGUCCUUUGAAUUGGGCUUUGUAUGAGCCUUGCUGCUUCCUCUUCUCCAACUCAGUUUCAACCAUUUGAAUAAGCAUUUUCUCUGUCUCUAUUUUGGCAACCUGGACGUUUCCAUGUGGAUCUCU
RNAcentral lists this unclassified non-coding RNA (532 nucleotides) under Hevea brasiliensis (rubber tree). The record is from RNAcentral. Lineage: Eukaryota; Viridiplantae; Streptophyta; Magnoliopsida; Malpighiales; Euphorbiaceae.